Molecule: RNA transcript, 5800 nt
Organism: Pelmatolapia mariae (spotted tilapia)
Lineage: Eukaryota; Metazoa; Chordata; Actinopteri; Cichliformes; Cichlidae
Gene: prom1b
Gene name: prominin 1 b
Exons: 29
Source: RefSeq, a predicted model, not a curated record
UGCUCGAGCCUUUUACGUACACGCGAGAUUAGUCUGCUCGCAGCCCGAAGCCGGUGAGAGUGUGUGAGCGCUCGUCUUCGGCCGCCGGUCCUCGCAAUCGUCGAAGAGCCCCGGGAAGAUGUCGGUGAUGACUCCGUACCGGGAAACCCGUAGCUAACGGCUGCUACUCAUGCGACCAUUGGAUGUUGUUUUUAAAACUUUUCCUUAGGACGGUUGUUUUUGCGGUGUGGGGAUAAAAAACACCACCCGGAGGGACAGGUGUCACCCACCCUUCUCCCUCCAGUUUUGUGUUUCCUCUCCCUCUCACACUUUUUUUUUUUUUUUGGAAACCGAGUAGGACCUCGGGGAACCAUGCUGUGGACACGCUGGCUCGUGCUGCUGCUCUGCUGGGGGGCCACAGGCAGCGAACAGCAGGCGGAUGAGAGGGGCGCGGUACCGGCUGAGGUCCGGUCGGACUCCCGCAGAGAGCGCUCACCUCCGCCGGUGGAGCCGCUGGAUUUUGGGUUUGUACCCGCGGCGGUUUACGACACCCACGCUUAUUACGAGCCAGGGAGCAUGGGGAUCCUCUUCCACAUGGUCCACGCGUUUCUCUACAUCAUUCAGCCGAACCCCUUUCCCAAAGAUCUCAUUGUCAAAGUCAUUCAGCAAAACAUGGGUGGAAUCAAAAUAGAGGAAUGGAGAAAGCCAGAAAACGUCGUCUUGUUGCUGCAGUGGAUCCAGUACGAGUCCGGAUUUCUCAUAUGUGCAACCUUCGGCAUCGUGUUUGUGGUCCUUAUCCCCGUCAUAGCUAUGUGCUUCUGCAUGUGUCGAUGCUGUGAUAACUGUGGAGGGGAGAUGCAUCAGAGACAGAGGAAAAACGCAGACUGUCACAGAGGUUUCUAUACCGCCUCGCUGAUUGCUACAACCAUCUUCAUCAUUGUGGGAGUUCUCAUUGCUCUCGCCGCAAACCACAACAUCAGCUCACAGGUCAAAAGCACUCGGCGGCUCAUUAACACCAACAUGAGAGACCUGAAGACGUUCGCUAACAACACGCCUGCACAAGUCGAUUACCUGACAGCCCAGUACACCACAGCCAAGAACAAAGUCCUGUCAGACCUCGACAACAUCGGCCCUUUGCUGGGGGGUAGGAUCCACAUUCAGCUGGAGAAAUCAGUGAUUCCUUCGCUGGACACCGCCCUGCGUAUGGCAGGAGCAAAAGUUGAGAGUGCCAUCAAAGCCAUGCGGGAAACCAAAGAGGCCCUGGAGAACGUCAGCUCGUCCUUGGAGGUGCUGCAGGACGGGGUGGGGAAGCUUCAGGCCAGCCUGUCAGGGGAGCGCGCCUCUCUGUCCAACACCCUGUCCGACCCCGCCUGCACGAACGGAGCUGUGUCGCAUACCUGUAACACCAUCCGCUCCACACUGUCCCAGCUGGGAAUCAAUGCUGACUUCUCCAAAAUCCCAGAUGUUAAUCAUGCCUUGGCCAAUGUCAAUACUGUCCUGAAAACAGAUCUCAGCAACAUUGUACAAAAGGGUUACGCAUCCUUUAACGACACACCAAGACUGGUUAAAGAGCAAACAAAAAACAUUGUUGCAGCUCUGCCUCGAGUAAAGGGGAUGCUGGAUAAGAUCGGUGCAGAGAUCACUGGCUUCUCCAAGAUGUUCCCCGUGGAAGCUUCUCUGGCAAAUUUCACCAUUUUCCUAAAUGAAAGACACAAAGCUAUUGAGUCCUAUUACCCCCAAAUCGAUCAGAUGGAUUUUUACAGGUGGAUCGCCUGUGUGGCGGUGCUCUGCAUGGUCGUCUUGGUGCUGGCCUUUAACAUCCUCGGCCUGCUGUGUGGUAACUGUGGCUAUGACAAGCAAGCUAGCCCGACCACCCGCGGCUGCCUGUCGAACACUGGAGGAAACCUGCUGAUGGCUGGUGUUGGCUUCUCGUUUAUCUUUGCCUGGGUGCUGAUGGCCAUCGUUACCACCCUUUUUGUUGUUGGUGGCAACGUGGAAAAGCUGAUAUGUGAACCUCUGGCUAACAGACAGCUGUUUAAGAUCAUUGAUACGCCGUUCCUGGUCCAUCCUGAAAAGAGGAACUUCCUUCCUGGGAUGCUUUUCCAGAAUCCAAAUAUUGAUUUAACUCUAGGCGGCAUGUACAGGGAGUGCUAUGACAACAACGGUCUGUAUCACGCUCUGCAGUUGGAGACCAUGUUCAACAUUAACUCCUUCCUCAACAGAACAGUGUACAACAGGGACCUGGCCAAAGUGUUUGAUAGUGUGCAGGUGGACCUGCAGGGCAUCAUGCUGCUGGAGCAGGCUGGCAGAGACAACCUCAUCAACUUUGCCAACUCUGGAAUUGGACAGAUUGACUAUCAGGCUUAUCUCACUGAGGUAAAUAAAGGAGUCACUCUAAUAGAUCUGCUGUCCUUCUGUAGCGACCUGGAGGGUCAAGCUGACCAGCUGCCACGUGGUGCUCUGGAGAACGCACUUAGAGGCCAUGCCAGCAGCAUUAGAUCCAUUCACAGAGAACAGGUGGUGCCACUGGAGCAAGCAAUGAAAUAUGUCAGAGCACGGAGUACGCUGCACCAGAGUAUCAAACAGCUGCAGAAGACAUCCAACGACCUGCCAGUCAAAGUCACAAAUGUCCUGAGUGCCAUUGAUGCAGCAGAGUACCUCAUCACUCAUAAUGCCUCCCACGUGGUGAAGCAGGAAACAAAGGCGUAUGUGCAGGGCUUGGUGGGAUACUUCAAACAGUACACAGAAUGGGUUAAAAGCUCUCUAACUGCAGAGGUGGCCCAGUGUAAACCCAUCAGCAACAUUGUGGACAGUAUGGAAAUAGUAGGAUGCAGCUUCAUAAUCGACUCAGUGAACACAUUCUGGUUUGGUCUCGGUGGCUGCUGCAUCCUGCUCAUCCCCAGCAUCAUCUUCUCUGUCAAACUGGCCAAGUAUUACAGAAGGAUGGACACAGAGGACGUCUUUGAAGACUCCUCUUACCCAUGGCUUGUUGCACUUUAACAUCGAUAAUUCACGCACUUUCUCAUCUUCUCCCACACACUUACUUGCUUUUUGGAACGGGACUGUUCAGCUUCGAAUCUCUUGAGUUUUUUCACUCUUUCUUCUGAAAUCACAAGCUCGGCAUUUUAGCUCUUAACAUGGACUUUCCCAUCACUGCUCGCGUUUUCUUUCUUUCCGAUGCGAGCGCCGCUCUCUGUGGAUCACUCCAUCCCUGUCACUUUCACAGGAGUCUUCCCCUUUCUCAUCUGCCCCUCCCCUCGUUCUUCUCUUGCAGUAUGGCUAAUACAGGUAAUCACGGUGAACAGGUGUGUGAUAUCCAUGGAAACCUUGCCAUCAGGUACGAGCCGCGUGGAGCUAAAUCUGACUUGCAUGCUGGAGUGUUAAUUGGUGGAGGGAUAUUUGGAGUCCUGUCAGCAUAAAUUUUUAUUUACCACAUAUAAAGAUAUAAAGAAUUCCCUGUGUGUGUGUGUGUGUGCAUUCAGCUCUCCCUAUUGUGACACUCUGACUCGGUUCCCUCGGGCCUCUGCCCCCCCGAGCUACUCAGUCUGGUGACCCACUGGAACUCUCUCCCUGCUGAUGAGUGGACAGGAGAACUGGAACUGAUCUUCCCUUUGUGGAUCACCGGGCUGUUUAGGCUUCCGAUUAAGAUCUUUUAACACUUCCAAGGACAAAAGGGAAGAACAAUCAUGAACUCUGGGAUGAAGGCGUCUUUCAGUAGUCCUUCAGGCCAUUUGACAAAACCACUAAUGCCAGCAAAAUCCUAUGAAGUGUUUUCUCGACCCCUUUACCAUUUUAUUAUGUACACCAACAGCUGCAUAUUUAGCUGCAUAGAGAAUCAAUUUGUACUUACAUGAUCAGUUUUAAAGAAGGCAACACAAGUGUACAGUUUUUACACUUUCAAGUCUUUUGAAAGUUUUAUAUAUUUUUUGUUAAACUUUGUUUUAUAACAUGUAAGUAGGUUUUGUAGUAAUAGCUUUCUUUUUCUCUGUGAAUAUUUGUAAUAUAGCUUACAUAAUUUGCAUCAAACAGGUUGCACUUAGCAGGUGUUUAUUUAAGGAAUGGUUUGACAAUUUGAAAAAAAAAGUAGCUACUCGCUUUCUUUCAGAGGGUUAGAUGAGAAGUUUAUGUGAAAUUCAAGCAGCUGGAAAGCAAAAAGACGAAGAGAAAAACAAGCUAACACUUGUGUUACAUGCACUUCCAAAUUGGCAAAAGUAAAAAAGGGAGGAACCACCGACACAGUUCAGCCAAUAGGGGAAAAAUGCCAUUGCUAGGUAACAGAGUUAUCAUCAGAGUAUGGUCACUGAUGGCCAUGAUGUUACUCACACAGUGUAAAACAUGGAUGUAGCUUCCAGGUAUGAAAAGUGAAGUCAACAAAGAAGCUGCAUUGUUAUUAUGAACCACCAGGGGGCAACAUCUGUGGCUAAAAACACUGUCUCUGCUGAGUUCAUGGGCUCUGUCACUUAUUUUGGGUUAAUACUGACUAACAAGUUAAGUCCAUUUUGUAAAUCUUGGUCAUGUUAUGUUUCAGAAAGAAGGAUUAUCCAGGAUCUGCUCACUGGCUUGCGAUUGGUAAGUUGGUAGCCAGUGAGCGUGCAGUUUCAGUCAGACCCGCCCAUGUGUCAUUUUAAAAUACGAAUAUGGCGACAGAGGCUUCAGGAAGGGAAUUCAGAAAGCAGCAGGUGACAUCACAGUAGUAUGUCCAUCUGUGACCCCCCCCCCCCCACACAAAAAAAAAAAUGGCAAAACAUCGUAUAGAGUAUAAACGAAUUUGUCAAUACACUUCGUGCGGUCAGAGGAUCCACAGUUUUUAAAUAUUUGUAAAACUCGGCAGCUAGAAAGACGAUGGUGGUCAAAUGGUGGAUCUUCUUUUCCAGUAAGUGCAAAACUUGCUUUGCUCAGUCUAAAUACAUCACAUUGUGAAAGUUCAGGAACUCUGCAGCCAAGCAUGUAGUGUACAUGUCAUCCUUCAUAGAAGUGGAUUAGCUGAAAUAAUACACAAACCGAACAGCUGAACAGAUCAGAUUUAUGAAUAAAUGUUGAAACAAGGACAAGUAAUCCAGCUUUGAUUUAGGCUGCAGAAAACUUCAUCAAGUAGCUACUCAUAUAUAUCACCAGGAAACAAAAGCACACACCUCCUGGUGCUUCAGGUGAAACUGACACAGAUCACAUCUCUCAUGGGAAUCUACCAAACAGCUGUGCAGCUGUGUUUUUGACCAAAGAGUUGAAUCAGCUAACAUUCGGUGAGAGUUUGUGUCUUUUCUAAGCAUUUACGUGUCACAGCAGACUUUAGACAUGUUUUGAGCUGUUUCCACACUUUAUGUCCAAAUCUCAGUUAACCUUACAGAGCAGAAGUGCUAAUAUUCUCAGCUAACUCAAAACAAAAGCAAAAAAGGUAUUGAAUUAUUCAUUUAAGCAGCAAAGCGGCAGCUCUGCUCGGCUCAGUACAUCCUUGAAACAUGAAGACUGCACAGUUUAUUACAGUGUUACAAGCUAUUAAAUACACACGUUUGCUUAUUCUAUUGAAUCAGCCUUUAUUUGACUAAAUUUAAUUAAGUCCCUGUUUAUGUUGUUGUUUGUUCAUAAAAAUUGUAUGUAGGCUGUCAACUUGUUUGAUCAGCUUCAAAAGUUUGGUAAGCGCUGUUUUAACAGGAUUUAAGGAGAGAUGACACACAAAAUAUCAUGUUUCACCAGACUGUUAAUGAGGGCCUAUUGCUUGUGUUGUCAAAUAAAAUUCCCAGAAGCCUCUGCAAUAUUAAAGGUCUGAAAAACACAACUGGGCUUGUGGUGAGGAUGCAAAUCUGUAAAUAAAAACUCAAAUCCA